This 497-nucleotide ribosomal RNA is filed under the name uncultured bacterium. Its description in RNAcentral is "bacterial SSU rRNA". It matches the Rfam family "Bacterial small subunit ribosomal RNA", at positions 29 to 518 of the family's 1533-position model. The record is from RNAcentral.
AUGAACGCUAGCGACAGGCUUAACACAUGCAAGUCGAGGGGUAACAGGGUAGCAAUACCGCUGACGACCGGCGCACGGGUGAGUAACGCGUAUGCAACCUGCCUAUAACUGGGGAAUAGCUCCCUGAAAGGGGGAAUUAACACCGCAUAACACUAUUGAUUCGCAUGGAUUGGUAGUUAAAUGUAGCGAUACAGGUUAUAGAUGGGCAUGCGUGACAUUAGCUAGUUGGUGAGGUAACGGCUCACCAAGGCUACGAUGUCUAGGGGUUCUGAGAGGAAGGUCCCCCACACUGGUACUGAGACACGGACCAGACUCCUACGGGAGGCAGCAGUGAGGAAUAUUGGUCAAUGGGCGCAAGCCUGAACCAGCCAUGUCGCGUGCAGGAAGACUGCCCUAUGGGUUGUAAACUGCUUUUAUAGUAGAAGAAACACAUCUACGUGUAGAUGUCUGCCAGUAUACUAUGAAUAAGCAUCGGCUAACUCCGUGCCAGCAGCCGC